UAUAUAUAUUAUAAUCAUUGUAAUGUCGCUGAUGUGUACAUAUUAGGGUAGUUGAAGUUCUGAGCUCAUGACCAGAAUGUUGUGAGUUCAAAUCCCAGCGCUACUAGAGAGGAAAAAAGCUUUAAGCCUCAGCUGCUCGGAUUGCUUCACUUGUUCACGUUCUUUGAUAUGACCAUCUCAAACCGAAUAACUGUAACGCAGUCACACUCAACACUUGCUCAAUUUCAAAUCAUGAAUUAAUCAUUAAAGGCUCUUAGAAAAUGAAAUGUUUUAAAUGAGCCACUUUUGUCAUCAAACAGACGACCAUGCCGAGCCUCCUCCAGUUCACUUAUUUUCUAUUUGCUUUCUCUUUACAAAUUUUGCGCCCUCUGUCAAACGAUGUGAUUUACGACGUGGUUAUGUUUCUUCCAUGGACGACUUUGAAUUCAAUCGAAAUGUCAUUAUCAUUCCUUUUGCGUUACUCUCAGUUCAACACUGUUUGCGCAGGCUUUCGUUUGUCGCCACUGGGUAAGCAGGUUUUAUCGCCUCACUCUGACAUGGAUUAGGUAUGUAUGUGUUCAAUCGCCAGCCUCCCACUCUUCUUAUUGCCUUAAAGCAGGUAAAAAGGUUUCCACCACAAAAAAAACAACAGAUAUUCAUUAUUCCAAGUAACGAAAAUGGUUGAAUAAUGUAUUAAGAUUUUACAAGUGUAAAGUUUGUUUCUCCAUUUCUCGAAAUAUCGAAAUAUUCUGUAAUAACUUGUAUCGCCUUUAUAACCGCAUUCAAUCUAUUUGCAUACUUUCUGAGCUGCUUAUAAUAAUAAUGUACAGAUUUAUUACAAUAUCAGGGGUGCAAACUUUUGCACUAUACAUAUCCAUAUGUUGUGGAUAAAAUGUACAAUGAUCUGCAUCAAUCAUUUAUUGCAUGACAUGAGCUCAUUUGCAAAUGUGUGAUCUUCAGCUCAUCUCUAAGGACAUCAACAAAAUCAAAGUGUUACGACUAUUACAAAAGGCGCUAACAUUCACUGAUGCUCAAGAAGGCAACACGAUACAUUAACAGCCAGUAGGAUUAUCGGUGUAAAUUGUUAUUAUUUUGUUUUCUGGGAAACAUGUAAAUAUCUUAUGUAACUUCUGAAGGGCAGUACUAAAUGGGAAAAAAAGAUUUUUAGACAAAAUAAUUUACACUGAUCAUCCAGUUCAAAACUUUACACCCUCUGGCUCUUAAUGUAUCGUGUCACCUUCUUGAGCAUCAGUGAAUGUUUGCACCUUUUGUAAUAGUCGUGAGACGAGUCCCUCAGUUGUCCUCAGUGUGAAAAGAUGGAUCUCGACAUCAUAUAGUCGCUGUUGGAAAGGGGUCAAAUAUACAGAAGAUGCUAGAAAAGUAAAGGAUGAGCAGGACCUGGAGGAUUUCUCUGAAGAACAGUGGGCAGUUUAACUGCUCAGGACAAACAAGGGACUCAUGAACAACUAUCACAAAACAUAAACACAGUCGUUGAUCAUCCAGGGUGCCCUUAUGCUUUGUACGUGUAAUAUGUUUCACCUGGAAAUGUGGAUUACGUAAAAACAUGAUUUAAGGUACGUAAUUUUUUUUAAAGUAAAGAUGUAAAGAUACACUCAUAUGUAGCGCUCUAGGUAAAAGAUUGACGCUAAAGGUUCAAAUUGUGUACACAUUAGGGGACCCACCCCAGCGAUAAAUAGUCAUAUAGUUUUUUACUGAAGGUACAGGAUAAUGCUUCAAUCAGGAUUCAGUUCAAAAGUAAUUGUUUUUGUUGAAGUAAUGGUAAGCUCUAAGUCUUUCUAUGUUUCUGCUUGUGGCCACCCUAUUGUAAACGGUUUCACGAUUCAUCCCUUUCUUUUUCUGUAAAAGCUUUUUAAUCACCGCCUGAGCUCAGCUAGCAGUGCUUUUUAAAAUUUUGUAUUUUCAUCGCUGGCUGGGCAACGUUCCACUCCAUAUCACUUAAGACCAUUUAGGCUCUCAUAAGGGCUGUAGAUGUGCCAUCAAACCGCGCCGUCUCUCUCACGCUUCAUAAACCUCAUUGUGCGCCUCCAGCAUUGCCGUAAUCACCAUGGAUAACUAUUUCCUUCCCUUUCAAACGAAAGUCAUAUAUAAACACCAUUAAGCCGUGCUACAUGCGGCCAGCGUGAGAGGAAUGGGUUUGCUCGUACUUUUAUGGUGCGAUAUCGAGAGCCCCAUUUUAGAUACGACAGAGUGCCAUUAUAGCGUGUGAAGAGGUGCAGGCAAACACAGCAUUGUAUCAGACGGUCUGAGUACUGGACAGCCACAGACAGGUUAAAAAGCAAACUUUUACUGUGUAUUUACUUUUACUGUGUCUCUAUUUUUCUCAUUUAGUUACGUGUCAAAAUAGACAUUCACUGUAUAUUCUAAAACAGGAUGUCCAUUAUGCUUCCAUAUAGAUAUAUAGUUAAUUUAGUUCAAUAUUCCAAAAUAUACAGUGUGGUCCAAAAAUCUGAGACCACAUUGAGCAUCUGUUGUUUUUUUCUUCUUCUUUUAAAACUGGAAAUAGCAAAGUUUUAGAAUUUGAAUUUUGAAAAUUC
Molecule: long non-coding RNA, 2534 nt
Organism: Ictalurus punctatus (channel catfish)
Lineage: Eukaryota; Metazoa; Chordata; Actinopteri; Siluriformes; Ictaluridae
Source: Ensembl